Molecule: long non-coding RNA, 307 nt
Organism: Capsicum annuum
Lineage: Eukaryota; Viridiplantae; Streptophyta; Magnoliopsida; Solanales; Solanaceae
Exons: 2
Source: RefSeq, a predicted model, not a curated record
AGGUGCUCAGUCCCAGCCUCGUCAGUGAUUUCUGAGUACCUUUGUCUACAUCUCUACAGUGGUAUUGGGUCGAGUAGCAGUUUAUAUAUCAUUUCUUACUGCAUUGACAUUAUGGAGAUCAAGGUAGUGACGAACAAACUUCAAGCGUACCUAGAUUUGUUUCUUAUUAUCUUAUGCUUACUUUCGCAUACAAGAUAUCUUAGUACAAGUGUUAUAAAUCUGUAUUAGAGGCUUGUAUUAGUGACAACCAGACCUGAAUGUAUCACAAAUAUUAUUUGUUCUUUAUUUAUAUUUUGGGUUUAUUUUU